CACGGGGGUUGCGAGCGUUGUCCGGAAUUACUAGGCGUAAAGGGCAGGCAGGCGGAUCCAUAAGUUUAUCGUUUAAGGCGUCGGCUUAACCGGCGUAGGGCGGUAGAUACUGUGGAUCUGGAAUGCGGUUGGGGAAGACAGAAUUCCUGGUGUAGCGGUGGAAUGCGCAGAGAUCAGGAGGAAUAUCGAUUGCGAAGGCAGCUCACAAAGCCAAGAUUGACGCUGAGGCACGAAAGUGUGGGGAUCAAACAGGAUUAGAUACCCG
Molecule: ribosomal RNA, 265 nt
Filed under: uncultured prokaryote
Description: partial 16S ribosomal RNA
Rfam family: Bacterial small subunit ribosomal RNA
Source: RNAcentral